Molecule: long non-coding RNA, 1282 nt
Filed under: Oryctolagus cuniculus (rabbit)
Lineage: Eukaryota; Metazoa; Chordata; Mammalia; Lagomorpha; Leporidae
Description: lncRNA (ENSOCUG00000035870.1)
Source: RNAcentral
GAAAGCGGAUGGAAGACUAGCCCGGUGCUGUCCUCUGAACUCUCUGUGAUGCAGGGACCGUUGGACAGCUGUCAUGACCACUGAGGCAGCCUCAUGCCUCCCACAGUCCCAAGGAAAUAGCCUGGGAAUGGGGUGAGGGGUGCUCUGGAGAGAGAUCCAGCCAGGGUCGUUUCUUUGGCCAGCAUCCUGGGGUCUCAGGCAGACAGCUUCUGCGAUUGGCGCCUCAGUUUCCUCUUCUGCAGAAUGGGGUUAUUACAACUGUUUCCGCCUCUCUAGAACAUUAGACCUGCGACACCUGCUGUCUCCCGGCCCAGUCCCCUCCCUCGCAGAAGCCAUGGCCUGAGAGUUCUCGUGGCAGAGGCAGGCCCUAGCUCCUAGUCCCCAGCUUUUUGACCACAGCACGCUGCUAGUAGGGGCGCUGUAGGACUCCAACAUGAAAGGAGAGAGGCAGAUCUUUGAAACGUCCGAACUCUCGAGGCCUCUGAACCCGCUGGCACCGUGGUAGCUGCCGACACUGUAGGCUCAGAACUGAGCGUUGAGGUCUGGCCUCCAGGUGAAGCUCAGAAGGUAGACGUAGAAGAGGCCUUAUUUGUGCUGUUGCUCCGCACGCUCGGCCCGGCACACAUCUCUGCAGUCAGCGUCGGCCCCAGACGUCAGCUCCACAAAGGACGGUGCUGGCUUUCUUGGCUGAAGCAGGAGCAGAGCUGGAAGAACCUUAGGAUGCCGUCAACCUUGCACCUCAACGGCUUCUGUCCCCCGACAGACGGAAGAGACUCCCAGGUAGGAAGAGGCUUGCUCAAGGUCAUGCGCUUGUCAGCAGCAUGUUUGGAACUGAAAUUGUGGAUGUCUAGUUCAGCCAGUCAUCACUCAGUGGACUUUUAAUGAGUGUCUAGUACAUGCCAGGGGCUGUGUCAGCCAAGGGCCCUGUGGAGAAUAAGAAGAGGGACCGGCGCUGUGGCGCAGUGGGUUAAAGCCGUGGCCUGAAGCGCCGGCAUCCCAUAUGGGCACUGGUUCUAGUCCCGGCUGCUCCUCUUCCAAUCCAGCUCUCUGCUAUAGCCUGGGAUAGCAGUAGAGGAUGGCCCAAAUCUUUGGGCCCCUGCACCCACAUGAGAAACCCAGAAGAAGCUCCUGGAUCCUGGCUUUGGAUCGGCACAGCUCUGACUGUUGAGACCAUCUGGGGAAUGAACCAGCGGAUGGAAGACCUCUCUCUCUCUGUCUCUACCUCUCUCUGUAACUCUGUCUUUCAAAUAAAUAAAAUAAAUAUUUAAAAAAGAGAGAGAGA